GUGGGGAAUUUUGGACAAUGGGCGCAAGCCUGAUCCAGCAAUGCCGCGUGCAGGAAGAAGGCCUUCGGGUUGUAAACUGCUUUUGUACGGAACGAAACGGUCCUGGCUAAUACCUGGGGCUAAUGACGGUACCGUAAGAAUAAGCACCGGCUAACUACGUGCCAGCAGCCGCGGUAAUACGUAGGGUGCGAGCGUUAAUCGGAAUUACUGGGCGUAAAGCGUGCGCAGGCGGUGCUGUAAGACAGGCGUGAAAUCCCCGGGCUCAACCUGGGAAUUGCGCUUGUGACUGCAGUGCUGGAGUGCGGCAGAGGGGGAUGGAAUUCCGCGUGUAGCAGUGAAAUGCGUAGAUAUGCGGAGGAACACCGAUGGCGAAGGCAAUCCCCUGGGCCUGCACUGACGCUCAUGCACGAAAGCGUGGGGAGCAAACAGGAUUAGAUACCCCGGUAGUCC
RNAcentral lists this ribosomal RNA (450 nucleotides) under uncultured bacterium. RNAcentral's name for it is "partial 16S ribosomal RNA". It matches the Rfam family "Bacterial small subunit ribosomal RNA", at positions 354 to 796 of the family's 1533-position model. The record is from RNAcentral.